GCGGAGGAAAAGAAACUAACAAGGAUUCCCCUAGUAACUGCGAGUGAAGCGGGAAAAGCUCAAAUUUAAAAUCUGGCAGUCUUUGGCUGUCCGAGUUGUAGUCUGGAGAAGCGUCUUCCGCGCUGGACCGUGUACAAGUCUCCUGGAACGGAGCGUCAUAGAGGGUGAGAAUCCCGUCUUUGACACGGACUACCAGUGCUUUGUGAUGCGCUCUCAAAGAGUCGAGUUGUUUGGGAAUGCAGCUCAAAAUGGGUGGUAAACUCCAUCUAAAGCUAAAUAUUGGCGAGAGACCGAUAGCGAACAAGUACCGUGAGGGAAAGAUGAAAAGCACUUUGGAAAGAGAGUUAAACAGUACGUGAAAUUGCUGAAAGGGAAACGCUUGAAGUCAGUCGCGUCCGCUAGAACUCAGCCUGGCUUUUGCUUGGUGCAUUUUCUAGUGGACGGGCCAGCAUCACUUUUGGCCGCGGGAUAAAGGUCGCAGGAAUGUGGCACCUUCGGGUGUGUUAUAGCCUGUGAUUGUAUACCGUGGCUGGGAGUGAGGACCGCAGCACGCCUUCAUGGCGGGGGUUCGCCCACCUUCGUGCUUAGGAUGCUGGCGUAAUGGCUUUAAACGACCCGUCUUGAAACACGGACCAAGGAGUCUAACAUGCCUGCGAGUGUUUGGGUGGAAAACCCGAGCGCGUAAUGAAAGUGAAAGUUGGGACCUCUGUCGUGGAGGGCACCGACGCCCGGACCAGACCUUCUGUGACGGAUCCGCGGUAGAGCAUGUAUGUUGGGACCCGAAAGAUGGUGAACUAUGCCUGAAUAGGGUGAAGCCAGAGGAAACUCUGGUGGAGGCUCGUAGCGAUUCUGACGUGCAAAUCGAUCGUCAAUUUGGGUAUAGGGGCGAAAGACUAAUCGACCAUCUAGUAGCUGGU
Molecule: ribosomal RNA, 917 nt
Filed under: Phanerochaete sp.
Lineage: Eukaryota; Fungi; Basidiomycota; Agaricomycetes; Polyporales; Phanerochaetaceae
Description: eukaryotic LSU rRNA
Rfam family: Eukaryotic large subunit ribosomal RNA
Source: RNAcentral